AUUCCACGGCAUCAACAGAAAACAAAACCUCCACGGUAACCAAAAAUGGCAGCAGCAGCAACAACUCUCUUCCUCAAACUCUCCUUCACCCGUCAUCACUUCACCCCUCCUCCUCUUCCUCUUCCUACUUCCACCAAUCCCUUCCCGCUUCAUCGCCGCCGGUCAUCGGGUUCUCUUCCUCGCAAUCCCGGCCGUUGCCUCGCCGCCAAAUCGGGACCGCCCCAGCCUCCUCCGGAAUCUGACCAGACUCAGCUCUCAGGUCUUGCUGGAUCUUUGUCCCAAUUUCAGGACAAAGUGCAGAUCUUCUUUGCUGUUCUUUUUUGGAUGUCUCUGUUCUUCUGGGCUUCUGUAUGGGACGACAGGGAUAGACCUAACAAGGGCUCACGAUUUAGAAGAUGACCUAACAUUCUAAGAUCAGGCUAUAAGGGUUGCAAGUAGGACAGUUAAGAUGGGAUAGCACAAGUUGCCUUGAAAAACUGAAAUGUAUGAUAGUCUUGCUACGUGGAUUACUGGAGUAGUACAAAUUUGAGGAUCUCAUUACAGUUGUGAAGUAAGCUUGGAGAGUGUUCAAUCUGGCAUCAUGUGCUUUUUGGAUUCAAUCAUGUCCUAGACAGUCUAUAGUUUUGUAUAGUACUCCAGUUUGUAGUAGAUAGUUGGUACCAAAAAUAGAAAUGUGGCCAGCAGAACAUGACAGGUCCCUAGUGAACAUUGGUUUGGUAUCAACCAUGUUCAUGUCUGCACUUUAAAUAGCAAAGAAGUUGUAUUCGACAUUUACUGUUAUUCCUCUGCCGACUGCUGCGAUGUACUGCCUUUCAAUGCGUAUGUUAUACUGAGUGAUUGCUGUGGUUA
This is an RNA transcript of Rosa rugosa (rugosa rose), 849 nucleotides long. RefSeq lists it as uncharacterized. The transcript has 3 exons. The record is from RefSeq and is a predicted model, not a curated record. NCBI's taxonomy places the organism in Eukaryota, Viridiplantae, Streptophyta, Magnoliopsida, Rosales, Rosaceae.